ACACUCUGACCUCCAGCAUCCCAUCAUUCAGUGCUACGAGCACAACAUCACUGAGCUAUUUAUUUCAUCUGAUGUCAUUUUAUUUUAUUUUAAGCAUGUGAGAGACCCAAGCAAACAGUUUUACAUAUUUGUCAUUAUAUCUAAGUUGACAUCUGUCUUAGGAAAUGCUACAAAAACAGACGCCUCUCUUCCAGUCACUGCACCACAAAACAUUUCAACCACACAGUCAGCAGCUACAUCAGGUAAUGAUGCUCUCAGGUUACUCGUAGGUGAAUGUAGCAGGUGUGCCAGUAGUCUUCAAAUAAACGUAUAUCCCUGAAACUUGUUCCUAAGCUGAUCCAUAUCCCACCUCAACAACAGCAAAAGUGUUUUGCAAUACAAUAUAAGCACAAUAAGUACAUUGAACCUAAUAAUUAUUGUUUUUUUUUUCAAAUAUAAAGUGGGACCAGAUACUGCAAACAUUUCAUUUGAUCAAAUAACCAUUAUCUUUUAGGAAACAGUUCUGAAUGUAAAAACCCAAACUGCACAUCAAUCUCACCCACACGCACCUCCUCACAACAACAAAUCACCAGCACCACUGCAGACCCUCAAACAAAUCUCUCCACUCCCACCACUUCACCAAACACAUCUGCAGAUACCUCUGGAGGUAAAAAUCAAACACACUCCUGCAUUAUUAUACUCUCACACACAAUCUCUCACACUCUGACCUCCAGCAUCCCAUCAUGCAGUGCUACGAGCACAACAUCACUGAGCUAUUUAUUUCAUCUGAUGUCAUUUUAUUUUAUUUUAAGCAUGUGAGAGACCCAAGCAAACAGUUUUACAUAUUUGUCAUUAUAUCUAAGUUGACAUCUGUCUUAGGAAAUGCUACAAAAACAGACACCUCUCUUCCAGUCACUGCACCACAAAACAUUUCAACCACACAGUCAGCAGCUACAUCAGGUAAUGAUGCUCUCAGGUUACUCGUAGGUGAAUGUAGCAGGUGUGCCAGUAGUCUUCAAAUAAACGUAUAUCCCGUCCUGGACUAAACCUUUUUACAGUCUUGUUUAAAAAUGUGGCAAUUUUGUAGAAAUGUACUUCUACAUCCCAUAAAGUUAUUGUUGACAUCAAAGGUCAAGCACCCUCACUUUAUGCUAUUUUAGUGUAAAUUUGUAAUUGUGUAAUUUACCAUGGCUAAUGCUAAUAUUAGUCCAAUAUUUAAUAUGUUUGUAAAGUAUAUAAAGUGAUGCUCAAUAUAAUAUACUGCACUAUCACCAGGUCGAGGUAAUGAUUUGCGGUCACAUUUUAUAUUAGCAGGCCUUAACGUCGAUGUACUUACAUUUUAGUUAAUCAUUUGAUGCAGUGCACUUAUUGUGUACAUACACGUUUUUACAUUGUAAUCAUAU
Molecule: long non-coding RNA, 1382 nt
Organism: Carassius carassius (crucian carp)
Lineage: Eukaryota; Metazoa; Chordata; Actinopteri; Cypriniformes; Cyprinidae
Exons: 3
Source: RefSeq, a predicted model, not a curated record